ACCAAGCACUACCACUAUAAGGUGGCCUUACUGAGCAAAGUUUGAGCACUGAUGAUCUUGGAUAGAAUAAUUUCCAUUUGUGUGAGAACAUUCUUACAGUGAUGUACAUCUAUGAGGCUACAUAAAAGCUGAAUUAGAAACCCCAAUUUGAAAUAUGGUAUUUCAAAAGUAACAAGGAGUCCUUCCCCUCUCUGGAAAUCUCUGGUUUCCCAAGCAAGCGGAUGGAUUAUAAUGAGCCAUUGUGUAUUAUUUUCUGUUUGUCAGUGACCCAGUUUCCAUGCUGUCUGCGAUACUGAAAUGGGGAAUUAAAGCUCGGGGUAGAUCUCCAGCUGCAAUAACGCAGCCCUGCUCACCACGUCGGUACCCGGCGAGCUGGGAGCAUCGCCCCAUCAGCACACAAAACUCACCAACUUUCAUUUCUUGGCUUGGAAAACAUGACAAAUGCCUUUCCAUCAUCAACCAUAAUUUCCAACAUCAACAAACAGCCAUCCCUUCAUUAAAUGCGGAUCUAACCGGCCAACCCCCAGAAGCAAAGUGGGUGUCCAGAUGGCAACACAGUCUUGCCCCCUCCACUCACCAGGUAUUUUUCUUUUCUGUUUGAGCCUGAAUUAAAAAAAAACCCAAAGCCCUGGGUGUCUGACAUCAAAGUGUGGUAGAAGGGAACUAUUGGGAUGGUGUUCUGGCAUUAAGGUGGCGCUAGAAAGGGAGAGUAGAUGGGCAGUGAGGGAGCAAAUCCUGUUGAAAUAUGAUUAAGUGACACUGAAGAUAAGGAAAUUCCUCCUUUAAAUGUUGAUUAAACAUAGAUUUUUUUUUUUUUUUUUGUGUCUAAAUUAUAGUUACAGAUCAUUUUGUUUCUGUCUGCGGUCUCAGAGAAAGCUGAUGGUGCUUGGCACUUUCAUAUCUACUGUAAGUUUAUGUUUUAUGCUCGCUCACUAAGUACAUUUGUAACUAAAGAUGAGAACAGGAGGCAUAAAGAGAUGAAUGUGCUAUAAAGUACCUCCAGCAGUCUGAGAGGAAAAGCCCACAAUUUUCUGGAAUAUGGUGGUUUCAUGCAACCAUGCUCCAAAUCAAGCUUUCUCAGUCACUAUUUACAACUAGGCAAGCCUGGUUUCUGGUCAUGUUGUUUGUUACACAUCAUUUGCCCAAGCAGAAAGUCUGCUGUGAGUAUUAUGGGAUGGAGGAACUUCUUUUUUUUUUUUUUUUUUUUUUUUUGAUUCUUUGUGCUAAUACAAUCAGUCACUUUUUUUUUCCAUAAAUUACCAAUUGUGAGUGAAUCAUCAUUCUUGGCAUUACUAGAAACAGGUUUUAUUCUCCCAUUUCUGUACCAGCCCACCUCCAUCAAGCCCAGCCUUUUUCUCUGAAGCUCAUUUACAGACAUAGAGAACAACCAGCCCUCCUGUUUCCCGGCAGGACAACCUGCGCAAGUGGUGGCCCUUCACAGUGCUAUUAUUUUCUCUGCCUCCCAAAGAAGAUUUAAUUCAGUCUUUAAAUUCAACAGGAUCCCUGGUGGAGGAGGAGGAGGGGAAGGGAGCAAGGGAUGAAUGAAGAGAGGGAGGAAAUACCUUGCAUCUCCUUUUGGGCCAAUCCCGUGCAUUUUACUGAAUUUUUCCACAGUUAUAAAUCCAAGAGGCUCCUCAAACAUGUCUCCAAGGUGUGCUGCUCACUCUGCUCCAGCACGAACCAGGAAUGGAGGCAGAGAGGGAAAAGCAGGUUUGUGCAGACAAGGCUGGUUGUCUCCAGAAGAGGAGACCUCUGUACCAACCCAGCAAAACUAACUUUAUACUCAGAUAAAUAUGUACCAUUCUCUGGACAUCAAAUCUAGAUUUAUUUUUCCUUUGUGUGGGGAAUCCUGGUUCAUGCCUGUUGCCGGGAUUGGGCAUGCGUGAUGUGUGCCCAUCUAGUAUUGCUUGUGGCCAGUCAAAAAAAAAAAAAAAAUCACAUAAUCCACUUCAGGUUUAAAAUAUAAUUUAAACCUGUCAAGUCUCAUAACUUCCAAGACGGCAAAUUUGCUGUAAAGAGAAUGGUUUCCACUUACUAGAUUUUAUAUUCAGAUCUCUGGCAUGCAGGCUUGCCACCAAAGAAGUCUUUUAUGCAAGCACAUAAUCAACGGAAGCCUUCAUUUUCGCUGCGGUUAGAUUUAAUGUGAUAAUGAAUAUUCCAGUGUCAGCUCUGGGUAAACUCAUGGAGUUUCACCUCAGAUUCCCUCCUUUAAAUAUCUCACACAGCCACACGCUUGCUGAGUGGUAAAUAAUUCAGUGGCACCAGCAGAAGGACACCUGAGAUGUGUUCGAAAUGCAAACGUCCCCGUCUGGCUCAUGUCCUGCCCCGCACUCCUUCUUGUAAACACCACAAGACGCGCAGCAAAGAGCACUAAGGCUUUAUUACCUAUUUAUAUUUGCUUUUUGCAAUGGAGAGCAGACAGAAGAAACGCAUGGUUGCAGCAAGGUGCCCGUGGAAAAAUCACCUCUGGAUGCAGCACAGUCACCCAUGCAGGUCCCAUUGGGCUCACUGGGUCGACUGGGACAUGGAAAGUCGGAGCAGGGAACCUCAGUGGUUUUGUUCCAAACAAAUGCCAGAGAUGUGAGGAAUCCAUAUUUCCUCACUGGCAACAUUUAUUUUUAUUAUAAUUUGCAGAACUACUGAUGAUAUUUUGCAUUCACUUGAGAGUCUCUCUGCAGUUUGCAAACAUUUAUCCACCCUGUAUGAGGCGAAUUCUUUGAUGCUCAUUUUACAGAUGUGGAAUGCGGCUGAAUUAAUAUUACUGUGAAAACCUUUGCUGCCAGAUUUCCCUGCCUGUAUCACUAUAUUUUACCCUUAUUACCUAAAUAGGGCUGCCUGGGGGAGCAGCUUUCCAACAUAAUCGCUAGGAAUCUGCUGUUUCUUUGGGCUUUUCACCUAUUUUGCAGUUAUUGGCUGAUGUUUUUCCUCUCCUUCUUUUUUGCCAGUUUCAAGUUUCCACUCCGACACCAAAUGCUUUUCUCUUUUUCCACUGCUGUUAACACUAGGCAGAUCAAACAAACACAAAAGUGUUUUCUCAAAAAAUAAUCAUUAAGCAUAUCGUGCAGUUUAGUUCAAGUGACAGCUGAAUAUUUGUUUCAUUAAUAAGUAAUUUGCAAUUAAUUCAUGGAGUCAUUUCUGAAAGAACAUUGUGAUGUUUCCAUGGUUUUAAAGUAGCAAAACACUAGUCAUUUUUUGACAAAAUUUCAGUACAAAUUGCUCAUAUGCAUCCACUGGAAAAAUCCAGCCUCUCGUGAGGAGCAUCCCCUUGAUGUGGGAACACAGCUCCCAUUACUGUGAGUGGCGAGGCACCUAUGUAAAAUAUGCAGUAUGUAGGGUUUGAAUUUCAGGUGCAUGGGGGCUCCUGCUCCUUCAUUCAAAUUGUUAGCAACAAAAUUGCUAAAGUUGUGGGAUUUUUCCAUUUAAGGCUCAUAUAAAACUCUUUUCGAUGCUGAAAGAAUAACAAAAUCUCCAAGCCUACGAAGGUGAACUUCUGCCUGGGAUGGAAUAAGCACCGUUUGCAUUGACAUUUUAUUAAGAAUUAAAUAGCAGUUUACCACCCUUCACAAUGUUCUUUCUAACCUUGUGAACUGGCAUGAUUUGCAAAUAAAUAACACAGAAAAGUGUCUUUAAUUCCAGACACCAGCACCACCUCCAGCCUAAAGCCCAGGACCUGAUUGAUACCUGGCCAGCAAACGCUAAGGACAUUUCUAAGCUACAGAAACAAUCGCAAUUUUUGCCAUAUCACCUUCUCAAUAACCUUCCCCCAAAAUUAGAGGUUAGGGAGUUGUCUAUAAUCAUUAACUGCCUGAAGGAGAGAGAUGCAUUACCAAAGCAACAAACCUCUAAUCAACAGAGUGGGCUCAGUGCAGAAGAGAAAAAUAACUCCUUAAGAAGCAAGUUGCAAUAGUUUAAAAAAAACAAAUCAGAUUUGACAUACAUAGUUAGCACCCUGCAGGUGCAAAAUUAAAAUGUUGUGAAAAGUGAACAUCAUAAAUUUGUGCCUAUUUGGGAAUGUAAUUUGCUAGAAUUAUGCUUUUAGAUGGAAGUGCUUACAGGUUUUCAUAUUCAGCAGCAACAGGAUCAAUUACAUUAACAAACAGAUACAGCUCUGAAUGGACACAGGGAGCUGGUAAAAAAAAAAAAUCAAAUGUUUGUUUCUAAAUUAUAAAUAAAGAAAAAAAACUAAAACAAUGCCCAAUUUCAAACUAUCCUAAAUGAGAUUAAUAGAUUGCUAACUUGGUUGUCUGGAAAGCCAAGUCCUAGACCCUUUUAUAAAAGUCUUUAACUGGAAGGGCUUUUUAAUUUGCCAGAAAGAUCAGCUUAAAAUUUAUAUUUAAAAACUUGAUGCAAUGUCAUAAUCUGUGAGCUAAAAAUUAAUAAAAGUUGGAUAAGAGAAUCUAUAAUAUGUGACAAGAAAAUCUGAAAUUGAUCAGCUAUUUCGUAUCUUCCACCGAUACACUGUGCUUUGCUAUACAAUGACUUCCAUGAGAAGAUGUGGCUUUGCAUUGAAUGCAAUUUUCAACCUAUUAGGUUGAUCCAGUUUCCACUGAAGUAAAAGAAAAGAUUACCAUUGACUUCAGCGAAGGCUGGAUUAGACUCUUCACAUUCACAGUGGGGGAAAUAAAAUCUUAAUGAUUAUUUAUGCCAGAAAUUCCAGUGUAGAAAGCAAAACUGGUGCAAAAUUGGUGUUGAAUUUGAAGAGAAAAAUGAGCACAGUGGAUAUAAAAUACGAUUCCACUAAAAAUUAUAAGAUUACUAGUUAUUCUGAAUAAGCUUAUAGAAAUGCUAUAGAUGUAAUUAAAUGGCACAAAUAAACUUCUAAAACUAAUUAUAGCAAUGGAGUGAUGAUUAUACAGUUGCAUUAAGAGUUAAAAUAAAACAUGAUACCAGAUAAAUGGGUAUAUUAGAACGGCAUUAUUAGAUUUUUUUGUAUUUAUCCACAAUCAAGUGUCACCAUCCCUUGAAGCUAAGGACAAAUAGAAGAAAACAGAUAGAGGAGAAAGACUGAGUUCACUUGCUAAAUAUAGCCAGUAACAUCAGGUAUUUCUACUAGAAAAAAGGAGAGGUACCAGCUACCAAUACAUGACUUGCACAACAAAUUAAAAUUCUUAUUCAGAGUCCUACAGCUCCACCAGAAUUGACAACUUGUGUAAGUACCAGACCAUAAAAGAAGUAAAACUUGAAAAGGAUUUACUGCAGAAAAUUGAAACGUCCCAGACAAAGCACAAUAUACCAAUAAAGAGCCAAUUAUUGCAACCAUCAAUAUUCAGCAGAGGAAAAGAUACGCAGAUUCAAUUAGGAAAAAAUACAGUCAUGCCUAUCAUUUGGCAGAAGAGCAUUACUUACAGAUAGGAAAAGGGACACUCGCUUUAUUUGUAUGUUUAAAUAAUAAUUUGAUACUUUAUCCAUUAUGUCAAUAAAUUAGCAUUUAGAAGAAACAAAUAUAUGCACAGUGUCACAACAAGUCUCUUCCUGAUUUAAAGUAAGUCAUCCCUCGCUUUGCUUUCUCUUGUCUCUGAAAUCCAUAUUGACUUUAAAACAUAUACGUAUGAGGUGUGCCAACUUUUGAAACCCAAGGGAGACAUUCACCAGUUGCCAGAAACUUGCUUAAAUCACUUACAAACUUACCUGUUUUUACAAUUCAAACAUAAACCAGACACAGCUUGCAUGGGGGGUUUUGUGAGAAUUCAUCCCUGGGGAACUGGUAAAUGCUUCUUUGGGAGGUUCCCUGUUAAUAAACACCUGCAGCUUAUCCCUAUUUUGCAGUCACAGGCUGGUGAGGGUUUCAGUUUAUAAGGUCACACAGACUGUGUCUGCCACCCCAGGUACGAGUUGGGCCAUUAGCAUAAUAGAAAGAGCAGGGGAAAAGAAGAAAGAAAGAAAAAAAAAAGAAAAAAAACCCACAAACUAAAAAUAGCCUUUUAUUCUGCUUUUGCUAUAAUACUAUAAAGACCAACAGAAACAUCCACAUGCUCAGCUAUGCCUUGGCUAAGCAAAUCUCAUAAAUGUCUGAAUUUCCCAUUAUGGCCAUGAUUUCUAGAGGGAGAUGAAAUCUUUACCUCUCUCUAAAUUGAUGGGAGUCUCCCUCCUCCCUUCAAAUGCCAGAAUAUGGAAGUAGGAGACUAUCCCUCUGAAGGCUGUAUUUUAUAAUAAUCUGAUGAGAUGCCUUUUGAUUUAGGGUUUGCAUGAAGGGAGAAAAAAAAAAUCCAUGUAGUCUGCCAGCUCAUCUAACCCAACUUUAAUCAUUGACUGUGUAGACAGCUAUAUCUGAGCUAGUCAUCUAAAAUCCCUUUAAAGUCAAUGGUGAGAAAUAGAUGUUUUUAGGAUGCAACUAAUUGAUUGGAAGGAAGAAAGAUCUAUCAUAUAUGGAAAAAGAAUUGUGGCCCAGAGGGUUCUGCUUUUCCUCAUUUACUUUACAGGGAGUUCACACAUCUGCAUUGUAGUAGUCAUCCAAAAGAAGUGAGAAGAAUAUCACCAAUCUCUCCUUUUUUAAAAAAAAUCUCUUUUACUGUUCCUCUUCCCUUCUGUUUCUACACCUAGUCUCUCCUGGGACAUUAGUUCAAUUUUUUAUAUUAUAAGCCCAUUAACCCCUCAAGGAAAUAGGCUCAUUCAUCUGAUGGUAAUGAAAAUUUUAGGUCACAGGUGACCACUCACCUGGGCCAGAAGAACUGACCCAUCAGGUUUAAAGAACACAUUAACAGAUAGUUUCAUGCCAGUUAUCACAGAAAUAUUCAGAAGAAAACUGCCUACCAUUUCACCAGCCUCCCAAGGACCCCUGGGCUCUUCAGCCCACAGCACUCUUGGUCACAUCCAAACUUAUGAUGUUUCACAUAGCCUAAUAAACUGGGCUGCGAUGAUUUUCAUGAAGACAAAGAGAAAUAUUCUCCCUCAAGAGGACAUGGUAUAUCUGUCAACUUGAAAAUACAGCGAACGUCAGGGAGAAGAAAAAUUAAUAAUAAUAAAUUUGUCCUCAUCAAGUAAAAAUCCAAUGAAGUCAACUUGAAAUAAGAUUUGCUAGUCUUGAAUAUUGUGGAGACCGCCAAAUGCCUUUCUUUCGCCAGAUCUACCACCCAACGGACAGCCCUGUGUAACUUUGUUCUGCUUUUACAAGCUGGUGAACCAGCCUAUUUCCUCUCACCCACCAAAGAGCUACCAUUGUACUGAAGAUUUUUGAGAAAUCCGCCGCACACUCUGACAUAAGGGAGUAAAGUUUUGUUUCAUGUUUUCCUUAUGCCAGGGCAUUCAUCUUCAAAGUGCCUCGCACGCAACCGGGGAGCCUUAGAAGUGGAUCAGGGGCGAUUCAAAGAGCUUUGCAUGGAGCAGGAGGGGGUUCCUGUUCAAAGCUCUGGCUUCGCGUCUGCCAGAGAAGAGCAGAUUCAAAAACCGAAGAGGUCACUUCACCUACCUGUAGUGGGAUCUCAUAUUCAGAAGACUCCAACUAAAAAUAAGGGAUAUUUGGACAGUGUGAUAACUGAAAACCCUCUAGGCGAUGUUCUUGCCUGUGUUCCCGCACACACAGACACAUGCAGAGCAAUGUCUCCUUUAGAAAAACAACCCCAAAACUGUAGGAGAUAUAAUGGCCUCCAGAAAACUUACUCACAAAUUUGCUCCAUCUAUAGCAUCCUCCUGGUUUGAGCACAAAUGUUUCCAAUGAGCUGGACCACCACAGACCUCUGAUCACACCAUCUGAAACAAGGAAACUAGAAUAAGCAGAUAUUUAAUAUAUGAUAGAGUGGCAGAAACACAGAUUUCUUGCAAUUACCCAAAUUGAUGCCAUAUAGAGGAAAUAUUCUACUUUGUUCAGAAAUUGGAAUUACCUGUUCUGUGGCUGGAUCUGGAAGUCCCUGGAUAACAUAAGGGCUCUGCUAGGAUGGGUAUUGUCUAAACACAGAGUAAUACACAGCUGCUUUGCUUAAAUUUGUAAUUUAAAUGGGAAAUAAAGUAUGGAAGAAAGUAUCGGUCUCACCUAAUGGAUAGACAACUGAGACAAGGAGAGAUGCAGGUUCAUUUCGGAACUUUCACAGGCUCCUUUGACUUAUAUUGUGGUCUCAUUAAAAUCUGUAAAGCCUUUGGGUUAUUCUUUGUCUGAAAGGCACAUAACAUAUACAUUUACAUUAAUACCUGUAACAUUUUUUUUGUUAGAGUACCUGGCUUCAUUUUUCUUUUAAACUGAUUUUAAACAUUGCCUCCGCUACCACAUGCUUAACUUUGCUGCAGUGCUGACUGCGGUAUUUCAUAUUUAGGGUGCUCACUCCAAGUUUGGUUUAUAACAGCAGGCCAAUAUAGAUCAGAAACUUACUGUCUGAUUCUACUUUUUAUGUAACAUUUGUGUCUUUUCCAGAUUUUCCUACAUAGUAAAUGUAUUAUUCCUUUAAAGCACCUGAUCAAAUAAAUUAGGAUCUGGGACAUAAUCCCAAGAUCUUAAUUUAUUUGUAGAAUUAUGCCUGUACUGCAUGUACUCUGUAGUCACCUAUAGUUUAAUUUGCUACAAGGCUUUGCCCAAAAAGAGCUGACCAUUUUCACACCCUUUCAUCCCAUAAGGCUGCUAGAACACACACUAUGCUGUACAACCGCUUCCAGGCGGUUUCAAAGCCCAUAUUUGCAAUGCGUUUCCUUUUUUCCACAUUUUAUGCUCACUUUCGUUACUCUUGCCGUGACCUCACCUGGAGCAACGAGGCCGCAAGCCUUCCAGAAGUCUUCACAGAAAGAGCAAUUGGUUUAUGCCCCAUGUGUUUCCCAGGUUCUAAAACAGCAUAAAAGUAGAAAUGAAGAGCCUCAUACUAUUUUUUUCUUCCUGCUGUGUGCAAUCAAGCCAGAAAGUAUCCCUUACUCAGAAAGAACCUGCAAAUUCCCUCGGCGUACCUGACCCACCAGCAGUGAUCCACCAUUAGGACCAUUUUCCCCCUACCCGCGCACAUCGUUGGUGCUGCGCUGGGUCUUCUCCUGCUGAGCUCCUCCAGCGGGGCUGGAACGCUGCCUGGCUCCACAAUGCCUGGGCUGAAAGAAAAAAUCCCGAAUGUGAAUGGAACACAAACCUUUGCCACCAAAAUAUGUGAAUUAUUUUUCAAGGACUUCACUUUAUGUAUUGCAGAUUUGACCCCGUAUAUCUGGGAAGUCUGAAGCGGAAAUAGGUUUAACACAGCUAAGAAAUAAUCACAGGAAAGCAUUUUGGAUUCAGCCAAGUAUGAAGUAAGGCAGCCUGUUUUCUUCAAAUAAAGCUGACUCUACCUUUCAUUACAUUCAACUACAUCAAUUAGAUAGAGCUUUAAUGGAAAAGGAUUAAAAAGUACAAAGGUAAAACAAACAGCAUUACUGCAAUGUCCAGUAGGAUGAAAUGACUUCCUGAUGUGCUAGGUAUGAUUACAGAAUUACUGGGGAAAAAAAGGAAGAAAGGAGGAAUAGAAGGAUUUAAUGUACCUUGCCCAGACUCACUGCAACAGUAAUGUGAACACAGGACAUGGCAGCACACAUAUUUUGGCAAUUAGCCCCCAUGUCCCCAUGCUGAACCUCAUUGCCAGAGCUCAGAUCUGAACUCUUUAUUUCUGUAUUUACCUAUUUACUCCUAGCCAGAAAAGCACAUUUCAUAAAUGCAAAUUUUUAGAUGAUGUUUGUUUGUUUACAUUUCUUCAAAUUGGACCCGUGCUGUUCCAGAUCAUUGCAAACUAUUUACUUCACUCUACUUUUAUCCACAUUUUCAUUUGCAGGAUAUGUAACAUUCAGCUCUAUAUUCCUUGAAAGUUUGAUAUCAGGUUCUUCAUAUGCCUAAUUUGGGCUUGAUUCAAGGCUGGGAUAAAUUGUUACAACUCAGAUGAAGUCAAUAGGAGCACAGCGACUUACAUCAGCUUUGUGUCAGUAAAUACCGAGGAGAUUGAUCUCAAACUUUUUCAGAACAAAAGAUUUUUGAAGAUGGAUUAAACAACAUAAAUGCUGAGCUGUUUUGCUAGACUGCAAAUGGCAUAACACAUGCUUUGUGUGACAUCUCUGAAUUAUCCCUUCGUGGUAAUGUUGACAUUACAUGGUAUUGACUCAUGGAAGAAGCUUAAAUACCCUUUUAAGUUUUCAGGACUCUUUGACAAAGCACUAUUUCAUUAACAAAAUGUUAAUGGAAUCUAGGAAGCUUGAAUAUACAGUAUAGCCUGAUGGUUUCAAGCAGCUCUGUUCACUGACCAAGAGAUGUGACUGCAACAGAACAGUGUGUUAUUUUUAGGCCAAUAGAAAAGGGAGCAUCUUGAGCAGGACAGUCCUUGGUGGAGAAAAGAGGACCCAAGUCUGCUUCCACAGGUCUGUCUUCCAGGUACCACUGUUAGAGGGCACUCCUUCAGCUAGAAGAUUUUCCUCAAAAUCUUGAUGCAACUAAAUUAAAAAUAAAAGAAUGAGGCUCUUCAAGAAUAAGCAAAUACAGUCCUGAAUGGUUGCUACCCUAAUAAUGGUCACACCAGAAUCAGACAAGUUUAACCGCUGCACAAGAUGAAUACAGUCUAUGACCAGAGGAUCCAGGUGAGCUUCCAGGGCUCAAUUUUCCUACUCAUAUGGAAAUGCAAUUACCUUAGAAAAGAGAAAGGAAGAACACACAGAACAUUGCUCAAAGGUUUCUUGGAGAAUACUGUAGGUUUUGGUAUAAAAUAAUUUAAAGAAAUUAUAAACAGUUUGAAUUCAGGGCAAUUAAAGGAAGAAAGGCAUUUCAAUCGUGACUGCAAAGUAUUGUGCUCAGCCAAGGACACUGAACUUUGUGAUCUCGCUGGGGUCGUGAAUUUUCCACAUGAAUUAACAGAUGCUCAUUGAGCUGCAACAACCAUGCAGGAUUUUUAUCCUGGCUGAAGAUCUGCCCCACGAUGUUCACAUCCCAUUGCCAGAAAAGCAUCUCCCACCCGCCAGAUAGCAUUGGUCAAAGCCCUCUGUGAAUAAUCACUUUAUAAUGCCAGACACUCACUAUGCAGGGGGUCACUGGUAGCAGGGUUGAAAAAAGGACAUUUGGAUCUAAAAUCACAAGCCUCUGUAGUCAACACUGGAAAAAUUAGCUCUGUCUCAAAGGCUCUUAUAGACCUAGGAGGAUCAACAUGUUCAAACAACAGACUGCCACACUAUGUUAGCAAAGGUUAGGGAAAGCUGAAAACCUUAAGGCCUUGCAAAUCAAUCUGUGUACCGCACAAAAGUUUCUCCUCUUCCAAACCUGAGACAAAUGCAGAUUGUAUUCAUCAUACUUUUAGAAAACCUCUAAUCAAAACGUUCUCCCUCUUUUGAACAAGAUUAUAACACUCCAGAGAUACCAAGACAACUGGAAGGCAGAAGUUUUGCAGAACGGGCAUUUUGCUUCUAAAACUCCACUUCAACCCAGCUGUGAUUACACAGAUUUCUAGUACCCUGUCAACUCAAUAUAUUCACACCCAUUUUUUUCUUCAGCUGCCAUAUUUAGCCACAAAUGCUGUGACCAUAAAUUUUAAAAAAAACCCACCUUUUUAAAAAACUCCUCAACUACAUCUACAAUUGCAUUAACAUAAAACUCACCAGAUGCAAUGGGCACUACUUGUUAGGAUUUUGCUUUCCCAUUCAUAGGAAGCAGUUCAGUUGAGUUGAGCUGAGCUGACCUAAGCCAAGCUAUAGCCCACCCCCACCUGCCUCCCACUCUGGCACCUGUCCCAUCCGCUGUUCCUCAAGGAGGACAUUCAUUACUCCAGAAGAAAAACACCUGUGUAGUAUCAGGCACUGCUGAUUUUCUUGAGGUAAGAGAGUAUUUACCAUCUCUGUAGUACAACUAUAAGUAUCAGCACUUUUUUUCUUUUUCUUAUCUCUGGAAGGGUCUUUAAGUCAAAAGAUUAAAGAGCCAAGAAAAGGUAUACAAAAACUGAUAAUCCCAACACAGAGACCUUCCAAUCAUAAAUACUUGUCAUUCUUAGCAUAAUAUAAAACUUCCAAUAUACUGUUCUGUUUCAGGCACAUUUAAGUACCCUAUAGAAAGUACUUUAUGCUGCUAUUAUUCCUAAAGAACUUCUCAUGAGUUUGGAUCCAUCAUCAUUCAUCAUGUCAGCCACUCUAUGGAUAGUUACACACACUUUGUCUGCUCAGUUUUAUCAAAUAGCAAAUUAUUUGUAUGGUGGAUCUCUCCCUUUUUGGAUGUUCAGCAGCCUGACUUGAAACCUUUUACUCUUCAAACACUUUUACAUCUGUGGGAUUCAUAAGCAUCCCUAUGUAACCACAAAGAGAAAAUCUGAACUUGUCUUGAGAGAAGGGGAGAAAACUGGUGGGCGGCAUAUUGCUGUCAUCAUCUAGUGUGCGGUUUAAUUCCUUUUCCAUAAAUAACAAAAUUUUUGGAAGACCCAACAGAACUGGCGGUUUCAGAAAGCAGCACGCUGGCAAAUCCCAUCAGCAGCAGAGUAUCCCAAGCUGAGCUGUGGGGUUGUUGGUGAACAGAAAACACAAUGAAUUUCAUUCCAUAACUUCUCCUGAAGUGAGGUAGAGACAAUUACAGUAUUUCAACAGGGUAAUGCAGCAGCUCAACAAAGCUUCAGCUGUUACCAUGGACUGGAUAGCCUUGUGCAGACAAACUGGUACUUGGUGGGAAGAGCAGCAAAGGUCUCAGCAGACACAACAGAGCUCACACAUAGGAGGCUUCUGAGAGCAACAGGCUAAAAUUUUAGUGAGAGGAUGGAGCCGUGGGAUGUUCAAUGUCAGCAAAAGACUUCCCCACAGCAGGCAGCAAGCACACCCCAGUGUGUGUGCAGUGUAGCUACAAAACUGAGCAAGAAUCCCCAAAAUGGCUGUGGCUAUAUUCCUCUUCUCAACCAGGGAGAAGGGUGUUUGUCAGGGAUGUCUUGGGGCUCUCCUGAGUGUACACAACAACCUCCUUGCAUCAUCAUGACAACAGGCAGCACGAAUUAACUGCAAUCCACAAAAGUUUUCCAAAAAGCUCUCCUCUCUCAUAAAUUAUGUUGUAUACUAUUUGUAUACUUACAGAUAGGAAGGUGUUCAAAAUACCCACUCUUCUAGCUUGCAUAAAUCACAUUUUAAAUAUACACAUGUAAGCACAUGUAUGUGUUAAAUCAACAUGAUUUUAGUUUUUGUACUUUCAGUGGAAAUCCCCCCACAUUAUUGUCAAAACUACAGUUGUUAAUUUAACAGGUCUACUGCAAAUAAAGGAAAAGCAGAACAAAUACUUAGCCUAGAUUUAUUCAAAACAUUAUAUAGGUUUCCUCUAAAAUGUCACAUUAUUAGAUUUUAUACAGCACUUCUCUCCCCCUCGAUGACUUUUUGCUCUGUAAAAGCUGUGUCAGAGGCAUGGUGUGAAUCAGAGCAAGCCCUGCGUAGGGAGGAAAGGCUCCCACCACACCCAGAGCCCCAGUCAUGCAGCACAGCCACCCCGAGGCCACGCCAGCCCCGUGGGGCAUCCGCAGCAUCAGCCCCACCAGCUCAGGCUUCAAAGAAACGGAAAAAUGGGGAAGCACCUGCUCAGCACAUGGACCCUGGUGGGUGGUUUGGGGUCUGCAGCUCCUGCGAGGAUCCCUGGCACAUGGCCACCCCCUUGGCCACCCUGCAUGUCCCUGGAGCUGGAGGUCUCCUCCAACCUGGCACCUUCAUGGGCACUGUGGGUCCCAGAGGUGCUUCCCAUCUUCAAACAUGUCCCUUUGGAGCACUUCAGCCACCUGUUCAGCAUAGUAAAAUAUCCAAACCAUUUAAUGAGGUUUUCAGUAAAACAAUUCCUUUGAAGUCCCUCAGACCAUGACAGCAAUUAACUCAAGACCUAUCUUCACUUUUGUUGUUUUACUAACUCUUGUUCAAGAUCAACAACAUCACUGAUGGUGCAAAUUAUUUCCCUGCAUAAGCAGUAAUGGAAUGUGUCUCACAUCCAGCCGUUACACUCAGCUGGCAAAGGGACCUGAUUGCAAUUACAGUCACAAUGUGUAGUUUCAUCAACGUCCCUGGGCUCAUCCUGAUUUUUUUAAUAGCCUCCAUUUUGCAGAUGUAGGGCCAUAAGGCAAUUCAUUGUGUUUACUACUGGCAGCAUUUAGAAAUGUAACCUGCUGGCACCUAUAGAUGGAACAGGUAAGGAUGAGAUCACAGAAUGAUGCAUACAAAAGGGGUUGGGAACUGUGGCUCCUCUGAAUAAAACUAUUCCCAAGCACACUCCACUUCACUAUUACUUAUACACAUAUUCAAAAACUUUUACACAAAUGCACGCAAUGUGAAUUGUUUGCAUUGCAAGUUAUUUGUAACAAUACACACUGAAAAGCAAGUAUGUUAUCAGAGUAUAAACAAAUAUAAUUUGUAAAAAGACAAAUCUGAAAUAUGAGUUUCUCCCAAUUACAAAAUGAGAGAAAUAUGAAAUGAGGAAGGUAGCAAGCAAUAGAUACACAGCCAGAGAUCAUUAGUCUAACAACGCCCUUGAUGAAGAAACUUUUUCAAGGUUUUCUGUUUGUUUUAUUUCUGUUUCUCGUGGGGUUUAUCAUUUGUUUGGGGUUUUGUUUUUAAAGUGAGCAAGAAUGAGGGUAAAAGGAAACUAUUUCCCCACCAAAGGGCCUUCUAUGGACCACGUGGGCCAGCCAGCUGGCUCCAGCCACCAUCCUGCAACUUUCUGCCGUGGGGAAGGCCUGUGAGCACACACAUCCCAUUGAACAAGGUUCAAGACAACGAUUCUCACCAGUGACAACACAAAUGUCGUGUAGAAAACCAAAGAACACCCGAAUCCUUCUCCUUGUGUCAUCUGAUGAUGCCAUCUGCAUCCUAUACCUUAAUCUGUUGGCCAGGAUUCCAUCUCCAGACCUAUAAGGUCACAACAACGCACUACUCCAAAGUAAAAAAGACAGGAGAAAUAGUUGCAAUCUGGAAUUUUUAUUCUGUGAGAAAUUAUAAUAUUUUCAUGAGUGCAGAAAGGAAAGGAAAUCUUAAAAGAUUCGUGCAAAACUGAAGUCAUGAAAACUUUUUAUGGCAAUGUUACAUUUUAAUAACAUGCAGAUGUAGUCUGAAAACGUUAAAAUGAUCCAAACGUAACAAAAUAUAAAAUAAAGUGUAUAGUAAACAUGAGAACUACACUAUAAUAAUAAUAAUAAUAAUUAAAAACCCCUAAAACUGGAACAAAUUAAAACAUUGCAGUAUCAUCAAAACAAAACACUUAACAUCAUACCAACAGAGAUGAAAGUCAAAUGAUGCAUUGGAACACCUUUUGUCUCAAAACUGAGUGUAAUCAACAAAAUUCCUAUAGAAAAUUUCAUUUUUACUCAAACUGCACUUUGGAUUCAGAGCUGUUUGAACAUGCUUUGACUACCUAUACCCAAGAAAAUUGCUGCCAUCCCGACCUCCUCUCCAAAGGUGAUGCAGGCAAAUGGAAAAGCGUCACUCGUUCUUACCGAAAUAAUGCCUAAGGCCUGUGUUUGCUAUAAAAUUGGUGGUCUCGGCUUAUUUCUCAGCAAAGAUGAUUUAAGGAGAGGUAAAGCGAAGCUAUUGUUAGUGAGACUUUCUUACUGUAAGAAACCAUACAACAGUGCAUUUACUGGUAUGCUAUGAAAUACCAUAAAUCAUUCUGACAACGUGAUACUUGUCAAAAUAAAGGCUUAAAAUACAUCUUGGAAUAAAAUAUCCUCAAUCUUAUUUAUUUGUUUGCUCACUCGUGCCAUUUGGCUUUUCUCAGUGGGUUUCCCAAUCGUUAGGGUGAAUUAGUGAGAUUCUGCUGUAAAAACAUAACCAUGUGCAUAUUCACAGGCUUAUACACACUGAAUAUCUGCAUAUAGCACUGUACGGCCACUCAACAGAACUAAAAAUAAAGCUUUCAAAGGCCACUUCAGUUUUCCUGCAAUAUUUUUUCCCUUUUCCGGCAUUUUUUCCCCUCCCCCCUGCCAAAUAUUUCACUAAUGCUCAAUGGUGGCACGGUUUAAGGGAGUCCUGCAUGGAAAGCUCCUUCAGCUGCUUAGCCCAACAGCAUAAAUUUGAUCUCGUAAUUAGUAUUCAGCUCAGCAUCUUGGAUAGAAACCAAUGUUACAGCCAAGAGGUGGUUUAAAUCACAUAAAUCAUAGAUCAAUGACAGAACUCUAAGCACUGGAUAGAUUACAAAAGUAAGCUUUAGUUAAAAAUAGAUUAACCAUUUCCCUGCAGGAAUUCCUUCAAAAAAAGCCCUGAAUAUAAAACAAAUAAAAUUAAAUCUGAUAAUUUUUUUUUCUAAUGUGUGUAUAGACUAGAUGAAUUGUUCUUUCCCUUGACAGUUACACACUGAUUAAAGAAAUGUGUUAACAUGCUAUUUCAAUGGAAAAUAUUGUAAAUUGUGGAGACUUUAAUUUUUUUUAAUGAGCCUUUAAUAGCCAGAAAGAACAUACUAGCAAUGUUGUGUACAGCAGGUUUAUAGCAAAUAUCACAGCAACUAGCAGAUACCUCUUUAGUUGCUGUUUUAAUUAAAAGGGAAAAAAUCUUCCCGAAGCCAAGAAAAAUAUUUUUGAGAAGGGUUUUUAAAGUAUUUCAUGUUUUAAAUUUUAGCUAGUGAAGUGCCCAUUUCUAAGAAGUAUCACAACCCAUCUGCUAUUCUGAUUUAAGCACCCAUGGGGGUACUCAGCAUCUUGAAGGAUUGUGCCCAGGAUCAUCAAAUUGUUAAAAGUUCAGUGGAAGAGGAAAUACGGGGCUGCAUCUCUUCCCCUUGACUAGGGAAGGAAAGAGGCUUUGGUUCCUGAAAUCAAAUUCUCUGCCGUUGUUAACCAGCAUUACACCAAACAGGGGUGCACCGACAGAUGCAGAUUCUGCCAACCAGGAAUCCACCCUGCAAACUGAGAACUGCAGAAUACAAAUCAAAAGUAUGUGCUUGCGCCUGUAUAUUUGACUGUGUUUUCCUCCCAUGAGGUCAGACAUUAUUGAAAAGGAAAAAAAAAAGAACACCACCACCACUUUUCAGCAUGUGAAGGAAAAUUUGCAUGCCUGUUUUCUUAGUUGCAGCAUUGAAAGUGAGAAAUGCCUUAGCAGCACCUCAGCCAUUCCUCCGGCCAGAGAAUUGCACAGUUCCAAGCCAUUGCAGCUGGAAUAAUGUGCUCGAAUUCCUCUCCUUGACUGGCAGGCGCACGGGAGGAAAAAAAGCCUCUUAAACACAUACAGUCCGAGGCAGUUCAAGCAACAUCAAACAGAUGAAAAACAUCAGGCACCCAAUCCUGCCACCUCAUAUGCCCUCUUUAUAACCUCCAAAUGCAGCUUAAAAUUAGUUAGAAAAUGAUCAAACAAACUGAGAGAAACACCAAAUUCCCUACCCCUGGACUAGCAAAUUUUCAGCUCUCCAUUUGAUCAAAAUAUGGGAAUUCACCCCAAUAAAAAGUUGCACAGUUCUUGAACUGGUAAAUAACUGUUAUAGGCACCAUAUAAUGAAACCAAACUUCCUGAACACCAAUAUCUGGUUGUAUAAUUGACUUCCCACAGAUCACAAAAAAGUUACUAUAAUUCUUCUUAUCAUAUGUAGACUUUUAAAAAUAUAUAAUACCAUUUUAUAGGCAUUUACAUUUGUUUUCAAAUACUCCAGCUCCAUCAAGAAAAACAUUUUUAAACUUUUAGUGCUUCAUGGAAAUUACUACUAAGAAGAAAUAAAAAAGCAAGCUGCUCGAUGGCUAUUUCAGGAAAAACAUUCAGAUUUCAAAACUGGCACUCCAUGUGAUAGAAGACUGCAAUAUAUGCAAUCAAGAGACAGAUUCAAACAAUAAUAACUAGCACAGGCUCCAGGGCAUAGCAGAAUGUGUCAUGUGCUUCAGACCCCAUCCUUUAAACAUCAGCCCUAUGAGUAGUUCUGCGGAAAAUAGAUGGGACUGCUCAUGCAAGUAUAGAGUAGUCACAGAAGAAAGUUUUCAAAGGCUCUACAUUUUCUAAGGUGUUGAGAAAUGCAUACCAAGUUUAGUAAAACUAAAAAAAAAAAAGAAAAGAAAAAAAAAAGAGAGAGAAAAAAAUCUCCUGUAAUAAGCCAAAUUGUCAGAGAGAUGUCAGGGUUAAUUUUUAAAGGCACAUUUCCCUCCAGCAACAAUUCUCUUUAAUUAUUUCAAUGUGAAACACAUUAUCAGACAUGCUUGUUCCCUGUUCUCAGCUCGUAGUGCCUGACACCAGAGAGGUACAAGACGUUAUGACUUCACUGAUGCUCACACACACGGGUGCUGGGUACGUGCUCCGUGCCAGCCCAGAACACACACGACAGCCUUCCAGUGUGUUUGGGUGGGAAUUUACCUUGUUUGUUUUUUUUUUACUUUAAGGUUUAAUAGUUGUGUGGAAUAGACACCACAGAUCAGACAAAGUCCAGUGAGAAAGCCGCUGGCACACUGCAGCACAUGGAGCUGCUGCAGGACACAAUAACAAAUAAGUUAAUGAGAAACACUUUAUGUUCCUCCCAGGUAGUAAGGGACACUGUUCAGAGACCAAAAUAAAACAUCAUCUCAAAAAUACGAGUGACAGUGGUUUAAAAUUUCAAUAUGCAGAAGAAACUUUCAUCUAAUGAAUCAGUUCAGCAUAUUUGAUCAAGUAUUUCAGAUGGUGAAGGUGGGUUUUCUGUUUUCUAACACCAUUUCAAACUUGAGAGGUGUGUAUUUAAAGUUCUUAAAUAUGCAAGAACUCACACCCAUCUAUUCAACCCUCAUUUUGGUGCAAGGGACUGAUCCUUUUCUUGAGAAGGAAGGCUGGAAAGGAAGAGGCUUUGGACCACCUCUACCAGAUCGGCUGUAAUCUAACGGCCUUUUUUAUACCACCUACAGUAAAACUCACUAUAUAGCUAGUCGUAAGAUUAAAAGCUUUUCAAGUUGCUAUCUUGGGAAAUUUCUUCCAAGGAAAUUACUACAAAGCCUUGUUUUAGUGUGUUCCCCUACUGUGCGUCCUACUGUGUUUUUUUAAUAAGGAAAGUUAUCCAUCCAUAGAGGUGUAUCCUGUUCUCCAUGCUUGAGUGUCUAACAGCAGGCACAUACAGUAGACACUCUGAUGUUUUGCCUCUUUAAUUUUCACUCCAUAAUGUUGGUGCCUGGUUUUCCUGACUGCACCUUCAGAGCAGUUUAAUUAUGGGCGUGCACAGAAUUUUGAGAGGGGAUUUUCAGCAACAAAAAAUUCAGAUGUUAUGAACAAGUUUAAUACAUGAAGAUAUUCAGAAUUUUUUACCAUGAAAUAAAAUCCCGCUAUGCAGUUAUCACAGGAUGGAAAGUGUGAUAAUAUCACCAAAAGAAAAAAUACAAAUACUUCAUGACUAAAAGAGAAAAGGGUAUAGAGAUGCUUCAUUUAGUCUUUAAAAGAUGCUUCAUAAAGAUAUAGAGAUGUUUCAUAUAGAUAAAGAGAUGCUUCAUAUGGAUAUAGAGAUGCUUCAUUUCAGUCUUUGAAAAGACAACUGUAUGCUAAAUAUGAAGGUAUGGCAGAUACAUCACCAUGCUUUCAAGCAAACAGGACAAAGUCACAGGUUUCUACACUCGAACUCCCAACCAGCCGAAAAUAGCUCAUGGCACUGAAUUUAUUGGCCCAAGGAUCAAGUCAAGCAGCUCUCCAAUAAAAGGUUACCUUACCACUCAAACAUCAGACCUGAAAUGUUGUGGGUUUUUUUUAAUAAUAACAGGCUAGGUACUGGGUUAUAAAUGAGCACUGCUCCAUUGACUUCAGACAGGGUAUGAAAAUUGAUUCAAUGGAGCACCACCAGUUCUCACCAGCUGAGUAUCUGUCCCUCUAAUCACAACUAAAAAGAUUUUCUUAGUCAAUUAAAGGCUCAAAGCCUUUACUCACUCGCACAAAAUCCCCGUUGAAGUCAGUGCUAACAAUACAUUCAUUUAAAUCUUAACAAACUGCAGCGCGCGCACUGCCUGGUGGCACCGUUAGUGCUGUAUAUUGAAAUACGCGCUCCUGCCAUCGAUGGAGCAAUACGUACUGUUCCAUACUGUCUCACGUGGCCCAGGAUAAUACCUGACUCCCCUCCGAUUCUGACACGUUUCUUUAGUAACUGACAAAAAAAUUAGCACAUUCAUUAUUUUUGCUAACAGGAGUAUGAGCUCUAUGAAGAAAACAUGUACCUAUGCUGACAGAAUGGGAGUACUUUAAUUUCCAAAUUACAUACAUAAAUAAAUCAAGCCAUAUAACCUGAUAAAUGAAAGAUUAUGAAAAUAGUAAUAUCCUGCAAAAUCUUGAAAGGCAUCAUAAUUCCUCAAACAAUUAUCUUCUGUCAUAUUUGCGAGUAGCCCAUGUAGUUCAAGAACGGAAAAUACAAAUGUGCUCCUUUAAAAUUCAUGAAACCACUCAUUCUGUCAUAAAAGCAGGCAUCUUUCAUGGCUACUUAUUUCACACAGUCUCAUAACUAAUACUGACAGAUACUUGGAAUGCAAAAAAAAAAAAAUGAGCACUGGACAAAGAAUACGAGCUGCUCAAUUCUUACAUUUUGAUGCUUAAAACAGAAAAUAAAAUCAUAUUUUAUAUACCCUUACAGAAUUUCUGGCAUAAUUAAAUUAAAAUUCGUAGAUAAAAACGAGAUUGUACAAGGACUGGUGCUAUACUGCUCCCAGGAUUGGGCUGUGCUGCAUCCAUGACAACAGGAUGGAAGGUUGCUUUUAAUACUAUUAUCUUACAUACCCACAGCUGAAUGCUAAUGCAGCUAUACUGAAGAAAUCAAGUUUCAGAUCUGUAUCCACUGAACUUACAUCCACUAGGCAGGGAGUUUAAAAGCCAGGCUAGCAUACGAAGACUAAUAUUAUAGCUCUGUCAACUCCCCAAAGGUCAGAUAUUUCAAAAGGUAAACACAAAUAUUAAUUGUCAGGUAGUUCUGUACUGAAGACCAGAACUGAGGCAAAAAUCAGGUUUUGUGACCAUAAUUUUCUUCCAAUUUCAUUUUAUGAAAUGGAGGCACAGAAGAAAACAAAGAUUAACUCAGAUCAGUUUAUGUUCUGAACACUGACAGAUGCUGACGCUAUUCCUUACUAACAUUGCCUCAGUAAGGGUUGUACCUGUUUCCUUCAAUGAAGGAGAGAGAAAAUGUGUGGGAAAGCAGCUGGGCAGCCUUAUUUUCCAGGAGGUAUCGAUUGAUCCAUCUUUAUCCUGGCUGGGGGAUGCAGGUCCUGAUCCUAGCUGGCCCUUUGCCUGCAGGAGGAACCUCUGCUCUACCCAGGGGAACAGCAAGUUCUCCCACAGGCACCUCUGGACCUGCCCAGCUCCUUCUACAGACAUUGUCUCCAACUUCUCAGUUCCUCUUGUUAUGGACUUAAAAACACAGAUUGCUAGAAAAUCAUGAAUAGGAAAAAAAAAAAAGGCAAGUUAUGUUUUUGGGGGGCAACUGACUUAAUAUUUUGCAGGUGUCUCCUGUCAUAGUCAAGUGUGUGGACAUUCUCGCAGUUAAAAACGCCCCAUUUUUCAGUGAAUGCAUUCUUAGAAUUACUAUACAUGAAAUAAACAAUAAAAUAAUUAAUAUAGUAAAACAAAUAAAGUAAAGAUAAUAAAAUAAUCUGGACCAACGGAACUAAAAUAAGGAGAAGAGGCCCUUGUAGUGAAGGCUUCUCAAGUCCAUCAGGUGGAGACCAAGCUAGCUAUUGUGGAAAUGAGAGUUCACUCAUAAACCACAACAGAACUGCACUUCCCAAGGGAUUUUUACCCCAUGCAAAGUACUUUGUCUCUUCAAAAGCACAAAUUCAGUGCAGCAGCGAAAAGAUGCUUCAUUUAAGGAAAAGUAAAAGGUGGCAACAAUGGUCGCAACAAUCAAAGUGUUGGCUUCUAAGUGGCAGAAUGACAAAAAGUUCUAGCACUUCAUGAUAUUGUAAUAGAAAAAAGUAUUAAGUUGUUAGUGGAAGUGUAUUUAAGAAAAGCCCCACACGUGGAUGUAAUAGAAAAUUAAUCCUCAGAGCCCAGAAAGUCCCCGAGGAUGUAGAAUCCAUCAUGAAGUUACCUCCUGUCCUAGAUUUUCUUGUUGCUUGCCUCUGCUGACAACAGUUGGCUUUUCAUUAGAGUAUUUGAUAUCAAUUUACUCAGACACUGGGGGCAAAAAAGGAUUUCACUUUCUUCAUCUGAAAGACACUGAUCCACAGAAUUAGUACUUUGAACAGAUGCCAGGGUAAAAUAGUGACACAUUUUCUAAACUAAUAACCACAGGUGGCCACAGCAAAUUGUCCAAAACCUCUCAGGGCUGCCCAGGCAGCCAUGGGUCUCCUGAAUUUCUGAUCGUUCUGGUACAGACAACAUUCCUGAAUGCAAAGGUAUCUCCUUCUAGCCAGUUCUUGCUCUGGCUCAUAUUUCUAAACUAGUCCCAUAAAGAAACAUCAUCAUUUUUAAUGCCCUCUUUCAGAUGAUGCCCAUCCUUCUGCAGAAGAGAAUACAAGGCAGUAACUGCUCUAAGUGUAUUUUCAGAUUAAAAUCUCUCAAAAGAGGUUAGACCCCACGUUAGUAGGUAUUAAGAACUAAAUUAACUUCAGGCAACACAACAAAUAACCCCAGGAGGGGUGUCUACCUCACCUAACUUGACAAAAGAGUUGGCUACCUUCUGCUUCUUACCAUCUACAGUGUUGGAAGGACCAACACUGCAAAGCACCUGGAGAAACCUCCAUCCGACCAGCAAUGACCCUGUUGGCACAAGGUUACCACACAGCUUGCUCCCAACUGACUUGGCAUCUAGUAAAACCUCUGGUUCAUCGCAAAGAGAGCACAAAACUUUGCCCACUUAGAAAUGUUUUCAUAGACCUUGGCUCAUUCCUUUUUCAAACCUCUAUUAUAUUAAGGGUUUAUCACAGAAACCCUUACAAAAAAUGAACUUCCCUGAAGUGACUGGUUCUGCACCCACAAGAGGUGUGAUUUAGACGCUCAGGCCAGAGCCCAGUCACCUGGUAGGAGGGCUGGCAGGGGACCAGCCUUGGCUGAGACAUUGCAGACCUGAGCUCUUCACCGAGCUUCUGCGCACCUAGAGUUCGGCUCAAGCAAGAAGAUGACUUUGCAAUUGAAUAAAUGCUUCUGGACUUGCAGCAAGCAGAGCUUGUGCUUUGCUACAGACAGAAGCAGCCUAAAUUGGAUGUCUAAAAUCAGACAGCAUCUCUGCAUCUUGGUGGAAGAGUGGAAAAUUAAGGUGGAAACCUGAAAGGACCAGAAACAAGCCCCCUGUUCAUCAGCAAGACACCAAUACCACGGGCACAUGAGUCUCUGUAGUCAGCACAUUUCUGACCUAUGAUGAUUCCUCAAGUGCAGCAACGAUCUGUCAGGAAUUGGACUAUAAUAAGGUUAAAAAAAAAAAAAAAGAUAUUUUUAUCAGAAGACUUGGG
Columba livia (rock pigeon) is the source of this 23189-nucleotide long non-coding RNA. RefSeq lists it as uncharacterized. The record is from RefSeq and is a predicted model, not a curated record. Lineage: Eukaryota; Metazoa; Chordata; Aves; Columbiformes; Columbidae. The transcript has 2 exons.